This 329-nucleotide unclassified non-coding RNA is filed under the name soil metagenome. RNAcentral describes it as "partial contains 5.8S ribosomal RNA, internal transcribed spacer 2, and large subunit ribosomal RNA". The stretch from base 1 to 120 matches the Rfam family "5.8S ribosomal RNA", at positions 35 to 154 of the family's 154-position model. The record is from RNAcentral.
GAUGAAGAACGUAGCGAAAUGCGAUAAGUAAUGUGAAUUGCAGAAUUCAGUGAAUCAUCGAAUCUUUGAACGCACAUUGCGCUCCCUGGUAUUCCGGGGGGCAUGCCUGUCCGAGCGUCAUUACAACCCUCAAGCUCAGCUUGGUGUUGGGCCCCGCCGCCCCGGCGGGCCCUAAAGUCAGUGGCGGUGCCGUCCGGCUCCGAGCGUAGUAAUUCUUCUCGCUCUGGAGGUCCGGUCGUGUGCUCGCCAGCAACCCCCAAUUUUUUUCAGGUUGACCUCGGAUCAGGUAGGGAUACCCGCUGAACUUAAGCAUAUCAAUAAGCGGAGGA